GAACAUUUAGUCCAUCUGCUGCUAAUUUUCACUGCCUAAAUAGACUGUAUAUCUCCAAAAGCUGAAAAAACAGCUAUCAAAAGUGAUACAAAUCUGGCAGAGUAGGACACCUUACUCCUGAACAUUCACACAUUAACUAAAUAUUAAUGAAAACACACAAACAAAGGAUUAGUAUGGCUGGAUUCUUGGGUUUACUAAAAACAAAACAAAAAACAAGGAUACUCAUUCAUAGACACCAAAUUAACUUCAUUUGGUCUAGGUGACUAGACCUAAGUCAACUAUGUAUAUCAGGAUCUUACUUUUGUAACCUCUGUCAAUCAUCCCACUGCAUUUGUUUACAGCUUUUAAAUGAUUUCAAUACUUUGACAUGCUUUAUAAGAACAGUGUGGUCAUUGACGUCACUCUAAGCAAUUGUAAUGCACCACUGUCUUCAAAUUCAAUGGCUGGUGCCAAUGGUGUUGGUGUCAUUUUUCUUAAUGUACCAUUAACAGCUUCCAGCACAAUAUGAAGUAAAUGAAGUGGGCUGG
Molecule: long non-coding RNA, 527 nt
Organism: Etheostoma spectabile (orangethroat darter)
Lineage: Eukaryota; Metazoa; Chordata; Actinopteri; Perciformes; Percidae
Exons: 3
Source: RefSeq, a predicted model, not a curated record